AGAGUUUGAUCAUGGCUCAGAACGAACGCUGGCGGCAUGCCUAACACAUGCAAGUCGAACGCCCCGCAAGGGGAGUGGCGAACGGGUGAGUAACGCGUGGGAACCUGCCCAGCAGUUGGGGAUAACCGCGGGAAACUGCGGCUAAUACCGAAUACGUCCUUUGGGAGAAAGAUUUAUCGCUGUUGGAGGGGCCCGCGUCGGAUUAGCUAGUUGGUGAGGUAACGGCUCACCAAGGCAUCGAUCCGUAGCUGGUCUGAGAGGAUGAUCAGCCACACUGGGACUUAGACACGGCCCAGACUCCUACGGGAGGCAGCAGUGGGGAAUAUUGGACAAUGGGGGCAACCCUGAUCCAGCAAUGCCGCGUGAGUGAUGAAGGCCUUAGGGUUGUAAAGCUCUUUUACCGGGGACGAUGAUGACGGUACCCGGAGAAUAAGCCCCGGCUAACUUCGUGCCAGCAGCCGCGGUA
Molecule: ribosomal RNA, 466 nt
Filed under: uncultured Pseudomonadota bacterium
Lineage: Bacteria; Pseudomonadati; Pseudomonadota
Description: bacterial SSU rRNA
Rfam family: Bacterial small subunit ribosomal RNA
Source: RNAcentral